RNAcentral lists this ribosomal RNA (106 nucleotides) under uncultured Peptostreptococcaceae bacterium. Its description in RNAcentral is "partial 16S ribosomal RNA". It matches the Rfam family "Bacterial small subunit ribosomal RNA", at positions 380 to 504 of the family's 1533-position model. The record is from RNAcentral. Lineage: Bacteria; Bacillati; Bacillota; Clostridia; Peptostreptococcales; Peptostreptococcaceae.
AGCCUGAUGCAGCACGCCGCGUGAGCGAUGAAGGCCUUCGGGUCGUAAAGCUCUGUCCUCAAGGAAGAUAAUGACGGUACUUGAGGAGGAAGCCCCGGCUAACUAC